This 679-nucleotide ribosomal RNA is filed under the name uncultured Staphylococcus sp. RNAcentral describes it as "bacterial SSU rRNA". It matches the Rfam family "Bacterial small subunit ribosomal RNA", at positions 66 to 726 of the family's 1533-position model. The record is from RNAcentral. Lineage: Bacteria; Bacillati; Bacillota; Bacilli; Caryophanales; Staphylococcaceae.
GCGAACAGAUGAGAAGCUUGCUUCUCUGAUGUUAGCGGCGGACGGGUGAGUAACACGUGGGUAACCUACCUAUAAGACUGGGAUAACUCCGGGAAACCGGGGCUAAUACCGGAUAAUAUUUUGAACCGCAUGGUUCAAUAGUGAAAGACGGUUUCGGCUGUCACUUAUAGAUGGACCCGCGCCGUAUUAGCUAGUUGGUAAGGUAAUGGCUUACCAAGGCGACGAUACGUAGCCGACCUGAGAGGGUGAUCGGCCACACUGGAACUGAGACACGGUCCAGACUCCUACGGGAGGCAGCAGUAGGGAAUCUUCCGCAAUGGGCGAAAGCCUGACGGAGCAACGCCGCGUGAGUGAUGAAGGUCUUCGGAUCGUAAAACUCUGUUGUUAGGGAAGAACAAAUUUGUUAGUAACUGAACAAGUCUUGACGGUACCUAACCAGAAAGCCACGGCUAACUACGUGCCAGCAGCCGCGGUAAUACGUAGGUGGCAAGCGUUAUCCGGAAUUAUUGGGCGUAAAGCGCGCGUAGGCGGUUUCUUAAGUCUGAUGUGAAAGCCCACGGCUCAACCGUGGAGGGUCAUUGGAAACUGGGAAACUUGAGUGCAGAAGAGGAGAGUGGAAUUCCAUGUGUAGCGGUGAAAUGCGCAGAGAUAUGGAGGAACACCAGUGGCGAAGGCGGCU